This 482-nucleotide ribosomal RNA is filed under the name uncultured bacterium. Its description in RNAcentral is "partial 16S ribosomal RNA". It matches the Rfam family "Bacterial small subunit ribosomal RNA", at positions 30 to 507 of the family's 1533-position model. The record is from RNAcentral.
AUUGAACGCUGGCGGCAUGCCUUACACAUGCAAGUCGAACGGUAACGGGCCUUCGGGUGCCCACGAGUGGCGAACGGGUGAGUAAUACAUCGGAACGUGCCCGAUCGUGGGGGAUAACGAGGCGAAAGCUUUGCUAAUACCGCAUACGAUCUACGGAUGAAAGCAGGGGACCGCAAGGCCUUGCGCGGACGGAGCGGCCGAUGGCAGAUUAGGUAGUUGGUGGGAUAAAAGCUUACCAAGCCGACGAUCUGUAGCUGGUCUGAGAGGAUGAUCAGCCACACUGGGACUGAGACACGGCCCAGACUCCUACGGGAGGCAGCAGUGGGGAAUUUUGGACAAUGGGCGCAAGCCUGAUCCAGCCAUGCCGCGUGCAGGAUGAAGGCCUUCGGGUUGUAAACUGCUUUUGUACGGAACGAAAAGCCUUCUUUUAAUACAGGAGGGUCAUGACGGUACCGUAAGAAUAAGCACCGGCUAACUACGUG